GGAGAUAACCCAGGGCAGGGUCUGGUGACCCUGGUUGGAUCACGGAGGUCCACCAGCGCCCGGCAGCCAGAUGGGUUCUGCCUGCGUCCCUUGGCUGUGCCUCCUGCUGCUGGCCCUGCCCACCUCACACGCAGGUAUUGCUGUGCCCAGAGCUAACCUUGCUGAGGAGGCAAAUGGCUCUUCCAUCAUCAAAACCACUGUGACAGUCUACUACUGUAAAAACUAUGGAGGAGAAGAAUGCAAAACAUCUGAUUACACAGGCUUUGAAAUAAUUGGCAAAACAGAAAAUGAGACAUUUUCGAAUGAAAAUAUUAGUCUGGUGACCAGUGAAAUGCACAUUACUAUGUGUUUUCAGCAAGAAAACAUGUGUCGUGAUGGAGCUUAUGUCAUUUUCUGGGAGAAGGCCGGGGGAGUAGGAGAUCCGCGUGGCAUCUUGAAGUGUGAAGCUCCCCUUGAAGAUAGGAGACAUAGCAUCAUAGAGGAGGGGAAAAUCUGCUGUGAGACAGAGACCGAUCAUGCAAACCCUCACAGUGUCCUGAAGUGCUACAUUGGAAGGACAGAUGAGAAAAAUACAAACACAAUGGAUGGCAUCAAUUAUUAUGGGGAUCUGGGUAAUCAUCAAUAUUUAGUCGGUGAAAACAACCAAACCGGCCUCACUGCCACACUCCUCGUUGUCGGGAUCUGUGCAGGAGCAGCAGCACUGCUGUCCAUGUAUUGUUAUUACAAGAGGCGGACCCGGAAACAUCAAGGACCUAUCAUAUUGCUCGCUCAGACUCAUCCAGAUUAAUCAAACAAGUUUCUGAAAGCAAAAACCUCACAGCUAUUUGAAAUACCAUCUACGAAAGAGAAAAGCUGGGCCUUUAGGCCAGCAGCAAACCCCUCAGCAAUGAAGCACAGCCAUCAACUGAAGAAACACUUGUCAUUUUCGUAAAUGUGCUUCCAUCACUCCCAAGCAUUCCUUGAGGACUGAGAUUGCCAAAGAUGUCCAGCGCCAGGUCUUCACCAGCAAUGCCAGAAGAUUGCUGGAGCUCCUGUCCUCUCCUGGUGCUUGGCUGAGGGCCACCAUCAUCACAAAACCAGUGGCUGGCUCAGCAGCACAGGCCUAGAGCAGCCCACUCCUCUCGGUGGACGAACUGACAGAAUCAACCACUCAAACCAAAGUUCUUCGGAGAACUGCAUCUGUACUCAGGAGAAGUGUGUGUCGAACCCUGCGACAGACGUUCUAUAUAAGUUUUCCAUGUCACAGUGCAGUAGCAUGGCUGUGGUUCUUCAUCCUUUAGCUCCCAGGUGGUCUCUGCAUUUACACAGGAAGGCAUUUAGUGAGGUGACUGAUUUGUUUAGGGAAAGAGGCUUGGCCUUCAAAGCAGAUGUCCAAAACCUAAAUUGAAAAGUUAAUUGUGUAUGACAACAAAAUAUAUGUUAAUAAUUAAAUUUAGAAAUACAGAAAAGUCUUUGUUCUUCUAUUUCACUCUUAUUUGACAGAACAGUCUAGUACUUCCCACAACCCCAGCCAUAGCAGUGGGGGCUUUACCUUCCUGCUGACCUAAAGUAAUCUUAACUCAGCUCUCUAAUGUGGUCUUCUAAUGGAAAAAAAAAUGUCUGCAUAUAUAUAUCUUCAUGUUCUUAUGUACAGUGUUCAAAUUGAUGGUUGAUGCUGUGCUUUUUUUUUGGAGACUCUCUUUUUUGUAUACCCUCAGGUUCUGCAUUCUUUGGGAAAGGGACAAGAAGACAUUUGAGAACUUACGUUGUAUAAACUUGAGCGAUUCAGAUUUGAUAAUGAGCAGAUUUAAUUUCUAAUCUUUAACACUAGUUGGAGCCAGAGAGCGGGUCAAGUCUCGAGAAUCAAGGUUACCUGCACGAUUCUGCCCAGUGGCAAUUGUUCAGCUGUCACGAGAUGCCAUCACAAGCUGGUCUUUGUGGCUCACCCAGGCACCUUCCUUUCCAUUUCUUCUGCCUUUCUGCUAGCUAUUAUGCAGCUGUGAUACUGAGAGGUGUCACUACCAGUUUUGUGGCUCCUGGGCUCUUUUUUCCUGGUAACACCAAUUAUCCAAUGUGUUGGAAAAAAAUAGCUUUAAUGAUCUAUGCUUCUUGCUCUGAGCAAAUGAUUUAUGCUGCUUUAUGUGAGCUUUUACAAAUCAACAUAUGCAUGCAAAUAUACAUUUCUUAAAUAAAGAUUGAUUGAAGAUACCGGGCA
Molecule: long non-coding RNA, 2194 nt
Organism: Numida meleagris (helmeted guineafowl)
Lineage: Eukaryota; Metazoa; Chordata; Aves; Galliformes; Numididae
Source: Ensembl